AUUGUUAUUUCUAGGUAUCGAACUUCGUGGCACGUGAGUGAGAAUGAGAGAGAGAUUUCAACUUCUUUAUUCUUCGACGCUUCUAUGGUUUCUCUUCUGAAUUUUAUCCCUUCUUUUCUUUCACCAUUCCGCUACAUCUCUUUCUCUUUAUCUUGAUUUUCAAUCUUGAUUUUUAGGCUUUUUUCGUUUGUGACAGAAACACCUCGUUCUUGAUAUUCAAGAAGGUUCAAUCUCCAUGAGUCUUGAUUAUUGGAGCCCUAGAAAUUUGAUUAGAUUUGUGAAAUUGUUACGCAAGAUUUCAAUAUCAGGGGUUUAUAGUUUCUGUCGCCUCUACUUGUUUCGAUUUGAAAUAUAGCGUGAGUGAUUACGCAACUGAACUCAAUUAACGGCGGUUUGCAUCCUUCUCUCAAGGUUUCGAUUAUUUCUUCAGAUUGAUGGAAUCAAUUGUGAGCUAUGAAUUGAUGGCGUUGAAAUAAAUUACAAUAUGAAUUUUAUAUUUAUAUUAUGAAAUUCGGAUGAUAUAUAUGAGAUUUGAUAGACCAAAUAUGAGUUUAUGGUUGAAGAUCGGAAAGUAAAUUGCAAUAAGAAAUUCAGAUUAUUAUUGUAUAACUCGGCUGACGGAAUACAUAAAGAUUGAUUGACCUAAAUAUGAGCUUGAAGUUGAUGACCUUACAAUAAGAGUUGAUGAACCCAAAUAGGAGUUCAAAGUUGAUGACCUUAAAAUAAAUUGCAAUAUGAAUUUUGUAUUCAUAUUGUAAAGUUAUGGAUGGUAUACAUGAGAAUGAUGUAUGAGAAUGUGAGCUUCUAGAUCAUUUUAAAAUAAAUUUGUACUUAAAUUUUGUA
This is a long non-coding RNA of Cicer arietinum (chickpea), 843 nucleotides long. RefSeq lists it as uncharacterized. NCBI's taxonomy places the organism in Eukaryota, Viridiplantae, Streptophyta, Magnoliopsida, Fabales, Fabaceae. The record is from RefSeq and is a predicted model, not a curated record.